Molecule: unclassified non-coding RNA, 2036 nt
Filed under: Homalodisca vitripennis (glassy-winged sharpshooter)
Lineage: Eukaryota; Metazoa; Arthropoda; Insecta; Hemiptera; Cicadellidae
Description: ribosome-releasing factor 2, mitochondrial, transcript variant X1
Source: RNAcentral
ACAAUUGAAUCGUAUUCGAAAUCAUAUUACAUUACUUAAGAAUGUUGAAUUUUUUAAGAUAUUAUGUUAUCAGUGUAUUUAAUUUCACACUCGCUUGAGUUGUUUAUAGUUUUUUAAUGAUAUUACAAACUAGUGAAUAUAGGUUGAUCCUACUGAUUUAUGUGUUUGUUUUGUAAUACAAUUUGAUGGCAAUAUUAUGGAAGAUGUUUGUGUCUUGAAUUGAGGUUAUGUUGUAAGGUAAAAUGAUUUCUAGCUGGUAUCUUCCUCGGAUUUUUCGUCGAAAUUUAAAAAGAUGUAUCAGAAGACUUUCAACAACAGAUGUCCUAGAGGUAUCUAUGAAAAGUGGAAGCGAAUCUGCCAGGAAUCUGGCAAAAAUCCGAAACAUAGGCAUCUUAGCUCAUAUUGAUGCAGGGAAAACUACAACAACAGAGAGAAUGCUAUUCUAUUCUGGCAGAAUUAGGCACAUGGGUGAAGUACACUUAGGCAAUACGGUAACUGAUUACAUGGAACAGGAACGUAAUAGAGGUAUAACUAUAACAUCAGCUGCUGUUACAUUUUCAUGGAAUGGACACAGAUUCAACCUGAUUGACACCCCUGGUCAUAUAGACUUUACGAUGGAGGUGGAACAAACACUGAAUGUGAUGGACGGCGCUGUCGUUGUAUUAGAUGGGUCAGCAGGUGUGGAGGCUCAAACACUGACAGUGUGGAGACAGGCAGACCACUACCAGAUACCCAGGAUUGUCUACGUCAAUAAGAUGGAUCGAAAUGACGCCAGCUUGGCACUCUCUUUGCAAUCCAUUCAAUCAAAGCUAGGAACUCCCACGUUACCUCUCUUUUUACCUCUAAAAGAAGACAAGAAGUUGGUUGGACUGCUAGACCUGGUCAGCCUGGAGAAAUGUGUCUGGGAAGGGGAGCAAGGGGAAAUGAUAUCCCGGAGGCCACUCACCCCAGCAGACAACAGGUUGUGGGAGGAAAGCGUGGCAGCACGAGAGAGUCUAACGGAUUCCCUUACAGAUCUGGACAGUAGAUUGGCUGACCAAGUCAUAGCCCUGGACUCCCUGGAGGAGGUGACGUCUGUAGAUCUCAUGGCAGCCGUAAGAAGAGUCACACUAUCACAGUCAGGGGUAGCAGUGGUGUGUGGCAGUGCAUACAAGAACGUAGGUGUUCAGGCUCUCAUGGAUGCUGUAGUUCACUAUCUGCCCUCUCCAACAGACUGUACACACUCCACAACAUACAGUCACUUCGGUGACAACCUGGCCGCCAAGGUGUUCAAGGUUACCCACGUCAAACACAAGGGUCCAUUGUCAUUCCUUCGUCUAUACUCUGGCACACUGACAAAGGGUCAAAAAGUGUACAAUAUCAGGCAAGGAAAAAGUGAGCUAUUGACAAAGAUAAUGGUUGUGGAAGCUGAUGACUUCGAGGAAGUUCAGGAAGUAACUAAAGGAAACAUAGCUGCAGUAUCAGGACUACAGUCCACAGUUACCGGUGACCUGUUGACGUCCAGUUUAUCUGCAGCAAAUGCAGCUAAGCGGAAUUUAAGCAAGGAAGCAAAAAUUACUGAAGAAGAGGCUGAAGAGCGAUUCAACAUCAGUGCUGUCGUUCCCGAUCCUGUUUUCUUCUGUUCCAUAGAACCUCCUUCACAGGCUUACCAACAAAGAAUGGACGAAGCAUUGGCAGAGCUUCAACGUGAAGACCCCAGUUUGCGGGUGUCGUUUGAUGAGGAAAUUGGCCAGACUGUUCUAGCAGGCAGGUAUGGGGGAGCUUCACUUGGAGGUGAUAAGGGAGCGAAUCCGUUCUGAAUAUAAAAUAGAAGUGGAUUUGGGGCCAAUGCAAAUAGCCUACCGAGAAAUGCUGCUAGCCCCCAUGACUGAUACGCUUGUAGUCAACCAUACCAUUGGUAAUCACAAGCACAGUGUGAAGGUGACCUUGUCCCUACUGCCGGAGAAGAGGAAGGACCUGUUAGUGCUAGACAGGAGUAAGGACAGUGCAGAGAACAUGGCUGCAAUCCAUCCUAGGCAACUGAAGAGCAUAAGGCA